UGGCGGCACUAGCGCGGUGGUCCCACCUGACCCCAUGCCGAACUCAGAAGUGAAACGCCGUAGCGCCGAUGGUAGUG
This 77-nucleotide ribosomal RNA is filed under the name Klebsiella pneumoniae. Lineage: Bacteria; Pseudomonadati; Pseudomonadota; Gammaproteobacteria; Enterobacterales; Enterobacteriaceae. RNAcentral also lists the same sequence under 2 other names. The record is from RNAcentral.